UCCGGUUUGUCACCGGCAGUCUCCCUAGAGUCCCCACCAUCACGUGCUGGCAACUAAGGACAAGGGUUGCGCUCGUUGCGCCACUUAAGGCAACACCUCACGGCACGAGCUGACGACGGCCAUGCAGCACCUGUGCGGGCUCCCGAAGGAGCACCGUGUUUCCACGGCUUUGCCCCGCAUGUCAAGCCCUGGUAAGGUUCUUCGCGUUGCGUCGAAUUAAGCCACAUGCUCCGCCGCUUGUGCGGGCCCCCGUCAAUUCCUUUGAGUUUUAGCCUUGCGGCCGUACUCCCCAGGCGGGGUGCUUAAUGCGUUAGCUUCGGCACGGAAAGAGUCGAUACUCCCCACACCUAGCACCCAUCGUUUACGGCUGGGACUAC
Molecule: unclassified non-coding RNA, 377 nt
Filed under: uncultured Actinomycetes bacterium
Lineage: Bacteria; Bacillati; Actinomycetota; Actinomycetes
Description: uncultured actinobacterium contains 16S-23S intergenic spacer region
Source: RNAcentral